This 1990-nucleotide ribosomal RNA is filed under the name human gut metagenome. Its description in RNAcentral is "bacterial LSU rRNA". It matches the Rfam family "Bacterial large subunit ribosomal RNA", at positions 670 to 2642 of the family's 2925-position model. The record is from RNAcentral.
AGGGAAACCGAGUCUUAACUGGGCGUUAAGUUGCAGGGUAUAGACCCGAAACCCGGUGAUCUAGCCAUGGGCAGGUUGAAGGUUGGGUAACACUAACUGGAGGACCGAACCGACUAAUGUUGAAAAAUUAGCGGAUGACUUGUGGCUGGGGGUGAAAGGCCAAUCAAACCGGGAGAUAGCUGGUUCUCCCCGAAAGCUAUUUAGGUAGCGCCUCGUGAAUUCAUCUUCGGGGGUAGAGCACUGUUUCGGCUAGGGGGUCAUCCCGACUUACCAACCCGAUGCAAACUACGAAUACCGAAGAAUGUUAUCACGGGAGACACACGGCGGGUGCUAACGUCCGUCGUGAAGAGGGAAACAACCCAGACCGCCAGCUAAGGUCCCAAAGUCAUGGUUAAGUGGGAAACGAUGUGGGAAGGCACAGACAGCCAGGAUGUUGGCUUAGAAGCAGCCAUCAUUUAAAGAAAGCGUAAUAGCUCACUGGUCGAGUCGGCCUGCGCGGAAGAUGUAACGGGGCUAAACCAUGCACCGAAGCUGCGGCAGCGACACUAUGUGUUGUUGGGUAGGGGAGCGUUCUGUAAGCCUGCGAAGGUGUGCUGUGAGGCAUGCUGGAGGUAUCAGAAGUGCGAAUGCUGACAUAAGUAACGAUAAAGCGGGUGAAAAGCCCGCUCGCCGGAAGACCAAGGGUUCCUGUCCAACGUUAAUCGGGGCAGGGUGAGUCGACCCCUAAGGCGAGGCCGAAAGGCGUAGUCGAUGGGAAACAGGUUAAUAUUCCUGUACUUGGUGUUACUGCGAAGGGGGGACGGAGAAGGCUAUGUUAGCCGGGCGACGGUUGUCCCGGUUUAAGCAUGUAGGCUGGUUAUCCAGGCAAAUCCGGAUAAUCAAGGCUGAGGUGUGAUGACGAGGCACUACGGUGCUGAAGUAACAAAUGCCCUGCUUCCAGGAAAAGCCUCUAAGCAUCAGGUAACAUCAAAUCGUACCCCAAACCGACACAGGUGGUCAGGUAGAGAAUACCAAGGCGCUUGAGAGAACUCGGGUGAAGGAACUAGGCAAAAUGGUGCCGUAACUUCGGGAGAAGGCACGCUGGUGUGUAGGUGAAGUCCCUGCGGAUGGAGCUGAGACCAGUCGAAGAUACCAGCUGGCUGCAACUGUUUAUUAAAAACACAGCACUGUGCAAACACGAAAGUGGACGUAUACGGUGUGACGCCUGCCCGGUGCCGGAAGGUUAAUUGAUGGGGUUAUCCGUAAGGAGAAGCUCUUGAUCGAAGCCCCGGUAAACGGCGGCCGUAACUAUAACGGUCCUAAGGUAGCGAAAUUCCUUGUCGGGUAAGUUCCGACCUGCACGAAUGGCGUAAUGAUGGCCAGGCUGUCUCCACCCGAGACUCAGUGAAAUUGAACUCGCUGUGAAGAUGCAGUGUACCCGCGGCAAGACGGAAAGACCCCGUGAACCUUUACUAUAGCUUGACACUGAACAUUGAGCCUUGAUGUGUAGGAUAGGUGGGAGGCUUUGAAGCGUGGACGCCAGUCUGCGUGGAGCCAACCUUGAAAUACCACCCUUUAAUGUUUGAUGUUCUAACGUUGGCCCCUUACCGGGGUUGCGGACAGUGUCUGGUGGGUAGUUUGACUGGGGCGGUCUCCUCCCAAAGCGUAACGGAGGAGCACGAAGGUUAGCUAAUCCUGGUCGGACAUCAGGAGGUUAGUGCAAUGGCAUAAGCUAGCUUGACUGCGAGCGUGACGGCGCGAGCAGGUGCGAAAGCAGGUCAUAGUGAUCCGGUGGUUCUGAAUGGAAGGGCCAUCGCUCAACGGAUAAAAGGUACUCCGGGGAUAACAGGCUGAUACCGCCCAAGAGUUCAUAUCGACGGCGGUGUUUGGCACCUCGAUGUCGGCUCAUCACAUCCUGGGGCUGAAGUAGGUCCCAAGGGUAUGGCUGUUCGCCAUUUAAAGUGGUACGCGAGCUGGGUUUAGAACGUCGUGAGACAGUUCGGUCCCUAUC